This 254-nucleotide ribosomal RNA is filed under the name uncultured bacterium. RNAcentral describes it as "partial 16S ribosomal RNA". It matches the Rfam family "Bacterial small subunit ribosomal RNA", at positions 28 to 291 of the family's 1533-position model. The record is from RNAcentral.
GACGAACGCUGGCGGCGUGCUUAACACAUGCAAGUCACGGGGGGCCCGCAAGGGUCAACCGGCGAACGGGUGCGUAACACGUGAGCGACCUGCCCAAUUGCGGGGGAUAGCCGGCCCAACGGCCGGGUAAUACCGCAUACGCUUCCCUGGGGGCAUUCUUGGGGAAGGAAACCUACGGGGCGAUUGGAGGGGCUCGCGGCCUAUCAGCUAGUUGGCGAGGUAACGGCUCACCAAGGCGAUGACGGGUAGCUGGU